UGACCUUUGAUCCCGACAGCAUGCUAUG
Molecule: small RNA, 28 nt
Filed under: Bombyx mori (domestic silkworm)
Lineage: Eukaryota; Metazoa; Arthropoda; Insecta; Lepidoptera; Bombycidae
Description: ovarian small RNA-31678
Source: RNAcentral